This 928-nucleotide long non-coding RNA is filed under the name Mytilus galloprovincialis (Mediterranean mussel). Lineage: Eukaryota; Metazoa; Mollusca; Bivalvia; Mytilida; Mytilidae. The record is from RNAcentral.
GGAUUAUGUAUUAUUGGGACAGCAACAUAACAACAAAAUUUUACAAAUCUAAGCAUCUGUCAACUAUCUUUAUAAAAAAAUAAUAAUAAAAAAAAUUAAAUGGAUAUAGGAAGAUGUGGUGUGAGUGCCAAUGAGACAACUCUCCAUCCAAAUAACAAUUUAAAAAAGUAAACCAUUAUAGGUUAAUGUACGGCCUUCAACAAGGAGCCUUGGCCUUGUUCAUUUCUUGAUGUCUAUAAGUCUUAAAAAAUAAAGUAGGAAGAUGUGGUAUGAUUGCCAAUUAGACAACUAUCCACUCGAGAUCAAGAACAAGGACAUAAACAACUACAGGUCACAACCUGACCUUCAACAAUGAGCAAAUCCCAUGCCUUAAAGUAAGCAGUAAAAUUGUUUUCCUCCAUCUCUAACAAACAAUGUGAAAAUCAAUUUAAAAACUCACAACCAGGCCUAACUGAAUUGAAUAUUUUAAGAGAAUAAUAACAUCAUGAUUUAAAAAAUAUGGAAGUAUGGUAUGAUUCUAAAGGGACAAGUAUCCAACAAAGUUCAAAGGUCAAGGAUAACAGCAAAAUGUGACCUUUCAUCUUCAAUAUUGAGCAAAAACCAUACCAUAAAGUAAACUAUUAACAAAGAACCUUGGACAACAAAAAGAGAAAACUGAGCAAAAGCAUUUGGUUAAAUCAAUCAAAGACAACCAUUGGACAUUAGGCUGCUGGCUUGGGACCGACAUAUAUUGCUUGAUGUAGGGACAAAUUUGUUUGUGACUGUUGAAAGCUUAAAAAAUAUUCAUAUUUUAUAAAUUAUCUUAUCUAGAAUUUACUCUAUAACUAUGUGAAAAAUAACAGGUUAAAAUUCAAGGAGUGAUAGAACUACCUUUUAGAUACUUGUAUAGCCUGAUUUUAUCGGCCAAGUUCGGAUUGAACUCGAGUUU